Molecule: long non-coding RNA, 570 nt
Filed under: Homo sapiens (human)
Lineage: Eukaryota; Metazoa; Chordata; Mammalia; Primates; Hominidae
Description: HSALNT0309826
Source: RNAcentral
UCUCCUGACCUCGUGAUCCGCCCACCUCGGCUUCCCAAAGUGCUGGGAUUACAGGCGUGAGCCACCGUACCCGGCCAACAUGUUUGGCUUUAAGAGGAACUGCCAUACCCGUCUUCCCAGCCGAGGCCUCCGCCCGCACCCCCCACCACCCAACUCAGCUCGUCAUAACUCACAGGCCGGGUCCAGGGUGCCAGGAAUGCCACUGAGGCUGGCAGAGUCCUAAAAGGGAGUGGCAGGUGCUGCUCCACAAGGACGGUUGUCCACCCUCAAUGAGGGCUGCAGGGCAACUGCUGACUGUCUGGCAGCCAGAGGACAGGGACAGGCAGCCACCCUCUUGCCAUGACCACACCUGGGUCUCCCUCAGUGUGGCUCCCGAGGGGCCGUUGAACACAGUGUUGAGAACUGCUGAGAAAAUCACACCAAAGACGAACUACCCACAGAUGCCAGUCACCACUCCAGGGUGACGAGAAAGAGAACACACAGGCGGCAGCGUGACAAAAUGAGUCCCAGCAUGCUACAUCUGGUUUCGGGUUUUAUUUUAGAAUUUAUAAAAUUCCAGUGUCAUCCAUA